UGAUGCCCUUAGAUGUUCUGGGCCGCACGCGGGCUACACUGGCGCCUGCAUCGAGCAUAUCAGCUGGCCCGAGAGGGUCUUGGCUAAUCUUUUGAAACGGCGCCGUGCUUGGGAUUGACCUUUGCAAUUGUUGGUCAUGCAACGAGGAAUGCCUAGUAAGCACAUGUCAUCAUCAUGUGCUGAUUACGUCCCUGUCCUUU
RNAcentral lists this ribosomal RNA (200 nucleotides) under uncultured organism. RNAcentral describes it as "partial small subunit ribosomal RNA". It matches the Rfam family "Eukaryotic small subunit ribosomal RNA", at positions 1465 to 1661 of the family's 1831-position model. The record is from RNAcentral.